GAGAUGGCUGAGUGGUCGAAAGCGGCGGUCUUGAAAACCGUUGAGGGUGCGAGCCCUCCGGGGGUUCGAAUCCCUCUCUC
Molecule: transfer RNA, 80 nt
Filed under: marine eukaryotic metagenome
Rfam family: tRNA
About the family: Transfer RNA (tRNA) molecules are approximately 80 nucleotides in length. Their secondary structure includes four short double-helical elements and three loops (D, anti-codon, and T loops).
Source: RNAcentral